Molecule: long non-coding RNA, 670 nt
Filed under: Vulpes vulpes (red fox)
Lineage: Eukaryota; Metazoa; Chordata; Mammalia; Carnivora; Canidae
Description: lncRNA (ENSVVUG00000005504.1)
Source: RNAcentral
GCCAGCACCUGUGUUCAUGUCCCCAGCGUGGCUGCUUACUUGGCUUCUUGUGCCUCUGUUUCUCCAUCUGUACCGACCUCAUCUCAAGCUGUUAGACGGUGCCUGGCACCAGAUGGUGUCAGACCCUUCGAUGGGAAGCGGCAUGAAGAGUCACAGACUUUUCUGGAAGGACAAGAACACCCCCACUCCAGCUCAAUAAAAAGAGAGGAGAAGAUCACUUGCUAUGACAAAUAUGCUGUGAACGUGCAUCCUGAGAUGCUUACAGGUCACUCCAGAGCGGGCAGCCGAGGGACUCGGGUGAGAAGUACAUGUUCCCAAAGACAGGAGCUGUGUUUUGGGCAGUCUUUGCUGGAACACGGCAUUCUGGAUUUUUGUCCAAACAAGUCACAUGGAGCCACUCUCAGAUGGCCAGGUACAGCUAACUGAGCGACUGUUACUAAAAGUAGCAUCUCUGGGAAGCUCCGAAUCAGAGCCAAGAAAACAAUCCAGAGUCAGAUCACCAUUUGGAAGAAGACUCAGCUGACCAGGCACAAAGCCCAGUUAAACUGGUGAGCUGGGAAGUUGAGGAGUGGAUUCAAGACCAGCUUGUCUCCCCAACCCCCACCUGCCAUACUGGGAUAUUAAAUGUAAAAAUACAAUGUGGCUUCCAUUCCAAUCCAAAGGGACAUCC